GAUGAACGCUGGCGGCGUGCCUAAUACAUGCAAGUCGGGCGAACGGGCGAGAAGCUUGCUUCUCGCUCGUUAGCGGAGGGGGGGUGAGUAACACGUGGAUAAUCUACCUAUAAGUCUGGGAUAUCUUCGGGAAACCGUAGCUAAUACCGGAUAAUAUCUUGAACCGUGUGGUUCAAAAGUGAAAGACGGUCUUGCUGUCUGUUAUAGAUGGAUCCGCGCUGCAUUAGCUAGUUGGUAAGGUAACGGCUUACCAAGGCAACGAUGCAUAGCCGAGCGCAGAGGGUGAUCGCCCACCCUGGAGCUGGGACACGGUCCAGACUCCUACGGGAGGCCGCAGUAGGGUACCUUACGCAAUAGGCGAAAGCCUGACAGAGCAGCCCCGCGUGAGUGAUGAAGGUGUUCGGUUCGUAAAACUCUGUUAUUAGUGAAGAACAUAUGUGUAAGGAGCUGUGCACAGCUUGACGGUACCUAAUCAGAAAGCCACGGCUAACUACGUG
This 497-nucleotide ribosomal RNA is filed under the name uncultured bacterium. RNAcentral's name for it is "partial 16S ribosomal RNA". It matches the Rfam family "Bacterial small subunit ribosomal RNA", at positions 28 to 507 of the family's 1533-position model. The record is from RNAcentral.